Molecule: ribosomal RNA, 569 nt
Filed under: uncultured fungus
Lineage: Eukaryota; Fungi
Description: eukaryotic LSU rRNA
Rfam family: 5.8S ribosomal RNA (bases 280-433)
Source: RNAcentral
AAGUCGUAACAAGGUUUCCGUAGGUGAACCUGCGGAAGGAUCAUUAUUGAAUAAACUUGUUUGGGUUGUUGCUGGCUCCUCGGAGCAUGUGCACGCCUGACACAUUUUUACCACCUGUGCACCCUUUGUAGACCUGGAAUACCUCUCGAGGCAACUCGGUUUGAGGACUGCCGCUGCUGAAAAGCCGGCUUUCCUUGCAUUCCCGGUCUAUGUCUUUAUACACCCCAAGAAUGUAAAUGAAUGUCUUUUAAUGGGCCUUAGUGCCUUUAAAUCAAAUACAACUUUCAACAACGGAUCUCUUGGCUCUCGCAUCGAUGAAGAACGCAGCGAAAUGCGAUAAGUAAUGUGAAUUGCAGAAUUCAGUGAAUCAUCGAAUCUUUGAACGCACCUUGCGCUCCUUGGUAUUCCGAGGAGCAUGCCUGUUUGAGUGUCAUUAAAUUCUCAACCUUUUCAGCUUUUACAAGUUGAUCAGGCUUGGAUGUGGGGGUUGCGGGCUUCUCAGAAGUCGGCUCUCCUUAAAUGCAUUAGCGGAACCUUUGUUGACCAGCUCUGGUGUGAUAAUUAUCUAC